CUUUAUGGCGGGCUGUGCGCAGGAGGCUUAUGCCUGCCGGUUUUUCCUGACUGACCGGUCUGCGAACCUGCGUACAGUUCGCCACCCUU
This 89-nucleotide non-coding RNA is filed under the name Pseudomonas asplenii. The record is from RNAcentral. Lineage: Bacteria; Pseudomonadati; Pseudomonadota; Gammaproteobacteria; Pseudomonadales; Pseudomonadaceae.